Molecule: long non-coding RNA, 400 nt
Filed under: Androctonus crassicauda
Lineage: Eukaryota; Metazoa; Arthropoda; Arachnida; Scorpiones; Buthidae
Source: RNAcentral
AUUUUUUUUUUUUUAUAGAAUACAAGGAGUAAUAAAAUACACUUUAAAUCUGAAAACUUGUUUAUUAAUCAUUAAUUUUCUGAAAUGAAAAAGGAAAACAAUAGUUAUUCUGAGCAAUCGACACAUAAUAAACCAUGGUGAUCUAUACACAUGAAUUUUUUACAUUGAGUACAACAGAACCUUGUCAUUCAACAUUUUUUUAUAAUCACAGAAGACAAAAAUAUUUUUCUGAGAUCCACAGGGUUGUGUUUGAUCAGCGGAAGAAGUUUCUCCAAGAACUUUUGCAAUUUUCCUUUUUAGGCAUCGGGUCAAACUUCACAUUUCACAGUGCUGGCAUAACCAUGCGUCAGACAGCUUCCCUGAUAUUUCUUUUACAAAUGAUUGACGAGAUAUGGGUUUU